Molecule: long non-coding RNA, 441 nt
Organism: Galleria mellonella (greater wax moth)
Lineage: Eukaryota; Metazoa; Arthropoda; Insecta; Lepidoptera; Pyralidae
Exons: 2
Source: RefSeq, a predicted model, not a curated record
GGUGGGAACGUUGAAAGAGAUGGAAUAAUGUAGCAACUGCGUUGAUAAUUACCGUGGACGACAGUGGCUGGUGUGGCUAUGUCAGCGAAAUCUUCAGUUUCAAAUCUUGCUGACGCUCCGUGUUCCAUUAAUGACAAUGCAGUUCUGGACAGCAGGAUCCCUUGCGAUGUAGCACAUGGCAACGGUGAGGUGGUGGGUCAGGAAGCGGGGCGCACGCCCGGCGGCGACACGCCAGCGCCCCACGGGCACACACGCAUCGCAGGCACGCCUCGCGGGUCAUCACCACCGUGCCUUCAGUAAACCAUCGCCCCUCAUACAUGCAACCGUGGGGCAGCUGAAGAGGCUCUGAAGUUAUUAUUGUUAUUAAAUUAAAUAAAGUAUAAAUAUAAAGAAAAAGCGCUGUAAAAUAAAUUUCAAUUAAAAAAAAUGCGAUAAAGAUCA